GGAUUAGAUACCCUGGUAGUCCACGCCGUAAACGAUGGUUACUCGAUAUUGGCGAUACACAGUCAGUGUCUAAGCGAAAGUGAUAAGUAACCCACCUGGGGAGUACGGUCGCAAGAUUGAAACUCAAAGGAAUUGACGGGGGCCCGCACAAGCGGUGGAGCAUGUGGUUUAAUUCGAUGAUACGCGAGGAACCUUACCAGGGCUUAAAUGCAUAAUGACAGGCUUGGAAACAAGUUUUUCUUCGGACAUUUUGCAAGGUGCUGCAUGGCUGUCGUCAGCUCGUGCCG
Molecule: ribosomal RNA, 287 nt
Filed under: uncultured bacterium
Lineage: Bacteria
Description: partial 16S ribosomal RNA
Rfam family: Bacterial small subunit ribosomal RNA
Source: RNAcentral